Molecule: ribosomal RNA, 253 nt
Filed under: uncultured bacterium
Lineage: Bacteria
Description: partial 16S ribosomal RNA
Rfam family: Bacterial small subunit ribosomal RNA
Source: RNAcentral
UACGUAGGGCGCAAGCGUUGUCCGGAAUUAUUGGGCGUAAAGAGCUCGUAGGCGGCCUGUUGCGUCCGCUGUGAAAUCCCGGGGCUCAACCCCGGGCCUGCAGUGGAUACGGGCUGGCUAGAGGCAGGCAGGGGAGAACGGAAUUCCUGGUGUAGCGGUGAAAUGCGCAGAUAUCAGGAGGAACACCGGUGACGAAGGCGGGUCUCUGGGCCGAUAUUGACGCUGAGGAGCGAAAGCGUGGGGAGCGAACAGG